Molecule: long non-coding RNA, 3296 nt
Organism: Ruditapes philippinarum (Manila clam)
Lineage: Eukaryota; Metazoa; Mollusca; Bivalvia; Venerida; Veneridae
Exons: 4
Source: RefSeq, a predicted model, not a curated record
UUUUCCCUAUUCUAAUGUUUUGUGUCUUUUUGUGUUUUUGGAAACCCCCUGGAAAGAAGAUGUUGGUGUUCUAGUUCUACAUUGUGGCGGAGACGUGAUUAUGUGGAUAGCUGCAUGUGUAUUAUUGGUUGGAAACUGGCAUGAUGGAGCAAUUAGACCAUGGAGGAGUGAUGAAGCGGAAGUGGAUAAGACUAUCAGUUCUUCGAGAGUCCCAGUGCCUAUAUACUCGCAAGAAGGAUAUGGUAUGGAAUAGCUUAGUACAUCUAUGUGCUGGCAGAUUUGUACAACAAUAAGUUGUUCCAGUGUGAAGAAAGAUGCGUGUCAUAAGACCAUGGAGGAGUGAUGAAGCGGAAGUGGAUAAGACUAUCAGUUCUUCGAGAGUCCCAGUGCCUAUAUACUCGCAAGAAGGAUAUGGUAUGGAAUAGCUUAGUACAUCUAUGUGCUGGCAGAUUUGUACAACAAUAAGUUGUUCCAGUGUGAAGAAAGAUGCGUGUCAUAAGAAAAUGGAUUGUUGUGUAACAGUGGUGAAGUGUUUGUUGAUCGAGACUAUCAAUUCUUCGAGAGUCCCAGUGCCUAUAUACUCACGAGAAGGAUAUGGUAUGGAAUAGCUUGGUACAUUUCCGUGCUGGUAUAUUUGUACAUUUGGAAGUUGUUUCAGUGUGGAGAGAGAUGGACACGGUCAGUAUGCAAUUUGAUAGGAAUGAUCUAUUUUACCUAGUCUAUAACUAGAUAGACUAGAAUAUCUGUGGUUCUACCCUUUUACCGUUUUACCUGCCCUUGUCUGUCCAUUGUGGGGCAUAUUUUUUCUGCCAAUAAAGGUGGAGAGUCGUCAAAUGACUUAGGAAACAACAAAACAAAUGUGAUUUGUUUAGUUAAAAAGACUUUGUUCAACAUAUGGUAUAGUUUAGAAAUGAGAUUGGAAUGUUGUUUUGUUAACCCCAGUGAACUUUCAGUUAAUCUUAAGACCAAGGAGGCAAAUUUGUAAGAAUGACAUGAAACAUGGUGAUGAUGGAUGGAUGUGUGGAUGGUCAAAGCCACUCAGUGACAGAGUAUUGAAGUACUUGACGUGCAUUGUGAAAGUUGAUCGAGACUAUCAAUUCUUCGAGAGUCCCAGUGCUUAUAUACUCGCAAGAAGGAUAUGGUAUGGAAUAGCUUGGUACACCUCUUUGCUGGUAGAUUUGUACGUUUGGAAGUUGUUUCAGUGUGGAUAGAGAUGGACACGGUGCAUUGUGCGGUAAACCUUGCUCUUUGAUUUCAUUGGUAAAUCUGUAUAAAUAUAAUGAAUUUAUGAUAAUAAUUCAGAAAUUAGUAUGCCCUUGUCUGUCCAUUUUGGGGCAUAUUUUCUCUGCCAAUAAAGGUGGAGAGUCGCCAUAUGACUUGAGAACCAACAAAACAAAUAUAGCUUGGUACAUCUCUGUGCUGGUAGAUUUGUACAUUUGAAAGUUAUUUCAGUGUGGAGAGAGAUGGACACAGUCAGUAUGCAAUUUGAUAGGAAUGAUCUACUUUAGCUAGUAGACUAGAAUAUCUGUGGUUCUACCCUUUUACCUUUUUACCUGCCCUUGUCUGUCCGUUUUGAGGCAUAUUUUUUCUGCCAAUAAAGGUGGAGAGUCGUCAAAUGACUUAAGAACCAAUAAACCAAAUGUGAUUUGUUUAGUUAAAAAGACUUUGUUCAACAUAUGGUAUAUGUUGAGAAAUGAGAUUGGAAUGUUGUUUUGUUAACACCAGUGAACUUUCAGUUAAUCUUAAGACCAAGGAGGCAAAUUUGCAAGAAUGACAUGAAACAUGGUGAUGAUGGAUGGAUGUGUGGAUGGUCAAAGCCACUCAGUGACAGAGUAUUGGAGUACUUGACAUGCAUUGUGAAAGUUGAUCGAGACUAUCAAUUCUUCGAGAGUCCCAGUGCCUAUAUACUCGCAAGAAGGAUAUGGUAUGGAAUAGCUUGGUACACCUCUUUGCUGGUAGAUUUGUACAUUUGGAAGUUGUUUCAGUGUGGAGAGAGAUGGACACGGUGUAUUGUACGGUAAACCUUGCUCUUUGAUUUCAUUGGUAAAUCCCUAUAAAUAUAAUGAAUUUAUGAUAAUAAUUUAGAAAUUAGUAUGCCCUUGUCUGUCCAUUUUGGGGCAUAUUUUCUCUGCCAAUAAAGGUGGAGAGUCGCCAUAUGACUUGAGAACCAACAAAACAAAUAUAGCUUGGUACAUCUCUGUGCUGGUAGAUUUGUACAUCAGUAUGGAGAGAGAUGGACACAGUCAGUAUGCAAUUUGAUAGGAAUGAUCUAUUUUAGCUAGUCUAUUACUAGAUAGACUAGAAUAUCUGUGGUUCUACCCUUUAACCUGCCCUUGUCUGUCCAUUUUGGGGCAUAUUUUUCUGCCAAUAAAGAUGGAGAGUCGUCAAAUGACUUAAGAACCAACAAAGCAAAUGUGAUUUGUUUAGUUAAAAAGACUUUGUUCAACAUAUGGUAUAUGUUGAGAAAUGAGAUUGGAAUGUUGUUUUGUUAACCCCAGGUAAAUCUCUAUAAAUAUAAUGAAUUUAUGAUAAUAAAUCAGAAAUAAUGCCCUUGUCUGACAAUCGGCUCUCGACUUUCACUUUUUCAUUCUGGACUGUUUUUUUUCCACACAUAUUCAUCAAUAUACAACACAAACAUAUCCCCUGGACAGCCCUGACAAUCAGCCUGACUUCCACUUUUUCAUUCUGGACUGUUUAUUCACUCAUAUACACAAACAUAUCCCCUGGACAGCCCUGACAAUCAGCUCGACUUCCAUUUUUUCAUUCUGGACUGUUUUUUCCACUCAUAUUCAUCAAAACACAACACAAACAUAUCCCCUGGACAGCCCUGACAAUCAGCCUGACUUCCACUUUUUCAUUCUGGACUGUUUAUUCACUCACAUUCAUUAAUAUACAACACAAACAUAUCUCCUGGACAGCCCUGACAAUCAGCUUGACUUCCACUUUUUCAUUCUGGACUGUUUAUUCACUCACAUUCAUUAAUAUACAACACAAACAUAUCUCCUGGACAGCCCUGACAAUCAGCCUGACUUCCACUUUUUCAUUCUGGACUGUUUAUUCACUCAUAUUCAUCAAAACACAACACAAACAUAUCCCCUGGACAGCCCUGCCAAUCAGCUUGACUUCCACUUUUUCAUUCUGGACUGUUUAUUCACUCACAUUUAUUAAUAUACAACACAAACAUAUCCCCUGGACAGCCCUGACAAUCAGCCUGACUUCCACUUUUUCAUUCUGGACUGUUUAUUCACUCACAUUCAUUAAUAUACAACACAAACAUAUCCCCUGGACAGCCCUGA